CCCCAUUUUCAUUCUCAGAUUUACUAUGUGUCUCUUUGACACAUUCCCCAUUUUCAUUCUCAAUUUUAAUAUUCUCUUUAUUGUUAACUAUGCUGAACUUUACUGCCCCAUUUUUAGGUGCAUAAUAUUCAGCACUAAAUGUUGCAAGCAUAUUUAAGGAUAACUUGCUUUGUUUGACAGAGUAAUAAUGAUUGAAAUGAUAAGUUCUAACUCAAAUGGCAAUUAUUCGAGAGAAAGACCUAUGACACUACUGAGACACUUCCAUUCCAAUGAUGUCCAGCUUCUUGGUCCAUGUGAGUUUGCAACCAUUAAACCAAUUGUCAAAAAUUUGCUGGCACAAAGCACAUGAAACAUGUAAAAAUAAGAAAGUUUGGUAAAUAUCGAUACAGCUACUGAACAACAAAUUUAUAUAUUUAAAGACACAAAAGUCACCAAUCAUGAAAAAGAAAUUAAAUAACAUUUUGUUUCAAAAUAUUAAUCAACAAGAACAGAAAAAGGUGUGAAUGCAUUCAACAAAAAUAAACCAAUCCAAUUGAAGAAAUCCCAAUGAUAAAAAAAACCACAAAAGCACAAACCACUAUGUUACAAUGAAAAACACUUAUUGUUUGAUUCUCAUAGGAUUUUGUCUAAUGCUUAGUCCGUUUCUGUGUGUGUUACAUUUUAAUGUUGUGUCGUUGUUCUCCUCUUAUAUUUAAUGCGUUUCCCUCAGUUUUAGAUUGUUACCCCGAUUUUGGUUUUUGUCCAUGGAUUUAUGAGUUUUGAACAGCGGUAUACUACUGUUGCCUUUAUUUUUUAUUGCUCAACAUGCACAGUUAUAAACAUGGUAGGAAACAAAGAAAUAAGCAUAGGUCAACAUGUACAUGUAAAAUAAUCAUAGGAAUCACAGGUCAACAUAAACAGAUAUAAUACAUCGUAGAAAUCACAGAAACAACAACAGGUCACCAUGUACAGAUAUAAUACAUCGUAGAAAUCACAGAAAUAACAACAGUCAAAUGUACAGAUAUAAUACAUCGUACACAGAAAUAACAACAGGUCACCAUGUACAGAUAUAAUACAUCGUAGAAAUCACAGAAACAACAACAGGUCACCAUGUACAGAUAUAAUACAUCGUAGAAAUCACAGAAAUAACAACAGGUCAACAUGUACAGAUAUAAUACAUCGUAGGAAUUACAGAAAUAACAACAGGUCACCAUGUACAGAUAUAAUACAUCGUAGAAAUCACAGAAACAACAACAGGUCACAUGUAACAUAUAUAAUACAUCGUAGAAAUCACAGAAAUAACAACAGGUCAACAUGUACAGAUAUAAUGCAUCGUAGGAAUCACAGAAACAACAACAGGUCAACAUGUACAUAUAUAAUACAUCGUAGAAAUCACAGAAAUAACAACAGGUCAACAUGUACAUAUAUAAUACAUCGUAGGAAUCACAGAAAUAACAACAGGUCAACAUGUACAUAUAUAAUACAUCGUAGAAAUCACAGAAAUAACAACAGGUCAACAUGUACAGAUAUAAUACAUCGUAGGAAUCACAGAAACAACAACAGGUCAACAUGUACAUAUAUAAUACAUCGUAGAAAUCACAGAAAUAACAACAGGUCAACAUGUACAUAUAUAAUGCAUCGUAGAAAUCACAGAAAUAACAACAGGUCAACAUGUACAGAUAUAAUACAUCGUAGGAAUCACAGAAAUAACAACAGGUCAACAUGUACAGAUAUAAUGCAUCGUAGAAAUCACAGAAAUAACAAAAGGUCACCAUGUACAGAUAUAAUGCAUUGUAGGAAUCACAGAAAUAACAACAGGUCACCAUGUACAGAUAUAAUACAUCGUAGAAAUCACAGAAAUAACAACAGGUCAACAUGUACAGAUAUAAUACAUCGUAGGAAUCACAGAAAUAACAACAGGUCAACAUGUACAGAUAUAAUACAUCGUAGGAAUCACAGAAACAACAACAGGUC
This 1953-nucleotide long non-coding RNA is filed under the name Mytilus galloprovincialis (Mediterranean mussel). The record is from RNAcentral. Lineage: Eukaryota; Metazoa; Mollusca; Bivalvia; Mytilida; Mytilidae.